This 443-nucleotide ribosomal RNA is filed under the name Escherichia coli. RNAcentral describes it as "bacterial SSU rRNA". It matches the Rfam family "Bacterial small subunit ribosomal RNA", at positions 338 to 796 of the family's 1533-position model. Lineage: Bacteria; Pseudomonadati; Pseudomonadota; Gammaproteobacteria; Enterobacterales; Enterobacteriaceae. The record is from RNAcentral.
CCUACGGAGGCUGCAGUGGGGAAUAUUGGGCAAUGGAGGCAACUCUGACCCAGCAACGCCGCGUGAGUGAUGAAGGUCUUCGGAUUGUAAAGCUCUUUUCUAAGGGACGAAGAAAGUGACGGUACCCAAAGAAUAAGCCUCGGCUAACUACGUGCCAGCAGCCGCGGUAAUACGUAGGAGGCAAGCGUUGUCCGGAAUGACUGGGCGUAAAGGGUGCGUAGGUGGUUUGACAAGUUGGUAGCGUAACUCCGGGGCUCAACCUCGGCACUACUACCAAAACUGUUGGACUUGAGUGCAGGAGGGGCAAAUGGAAUUCCUAGUGUAGCGGUGGAAUGCGUAGAUAUUAGGAGGAACACCAGUGGCGAAGGCGAUUUGCUGGACUGUAACUGACACUGAGGCACGAAAGCGUGGGGAGCAAACAGGAUUAGAUACCCUAGUAGUCC